Molecule: long non-coding RNA, 1780 nt
Organism: Antechinus flavipes (yellow-footed antechinus)
Lineage: Eukaryota; Metazoa; Chordata; Mammalia; Dasyuromorphia; Dasyuridae
Exons: 3
Source: RefSeq, a predicted model, not a curated record
UUCCCGAUUUCUGGAAACGGUGCCCUUCAACCAUCAGAAAUUUAAUUCAGCUGCUGCUCUUUAUCUCCAACCUUAACAGCCUUUCCUCCCGACCCCAGAACCCUGGUUAAAGCCAGGCCCAUUUCCAGAGGGAAGAUGCAGGGCGACCCCCUCCCCAGACAGGCUGAUGAUGUGGGGGUGGGGGUGGGGAGGGGAGCGCUUCCUCCGCUCUGGGCCUGAUGGCACAAAACCCCUUUCCUUCUUUCUCCCCUCCCCCCUCUUAUCUGGGACAAGAGUAGCCCCGCUCGAUGGUGACGUCACAGUGACUGCCCCCCUCCCACCUGGUAUUUUUGUCUCCUAUCCCUCAGUGUGAGGAUGUGCGGGAGAGGAGAGCAGCUGAAUUUCUGCGUGCCCCUCUUGCCCCUUCCACAGUGACCAAUCCGGAGGGUCCUGCUAGGGCCUAAGCGACUGUGAGAGUUGCAGUUGCUUCUCAUUUGAUAACUCUAUGAACUUUUGGAUGUGAUCGGUACAAAAAGUCGACGGAGAAGAGAUAAAUCACUUUCUAGAACUCUGAUGGAAAGGACUCCUGGCUCAGACUCCACCUCUUGAUUUCGUGGUCCAUCCCCUCAAGCCAGGGAAUUGGGCACCAAUAAAGUCCUCGAAGACAGAAAAGCUGCAUCCCAGCUGGAGAGGGCCAUUCCGGAUUCUCCUCAUUGCUGCAACUGCCCUAAAAAAGUACUGAACGCAGUUGGACUGAUUACUCUAAGGUUCAAGUUUAAAAAACUGAGGUGACCUUAUUUCUACUAACCCUGUAAAGUAUUCUCUUGUCUUAUGUCUCUCACACGUGAUGAUGACCCGAACUGGACUCCUGCCCAGCGGUUCCAGAGACUCAUAGCUUGGUUGUUUGACCCUUGGUGUUUGGGAGUAGAUUGGGAGAUCAAGUGGAUGAGGUGGGAUCAGAUGAACCUUAAUGGCAACAGAAUUCCCCUGAAGGAAAUUUGUUGGGAAUCGCAGGGACCUUUCCCAGAUCCCUCUUCCUUUAGGCUUAUUUGUGUAGAGGUCCAUGACUAUCCUUGCUUCUGGAAGCUAUAUAGACAGAGACCAGGUGCCAGUGUGGAAGGGUGGGUGCUUUGCGAUAAUCAAGCGUUUCCAUGGCCCUCAGGGUGGCAAUUACCCUCAUCCCUGCCUUUCUAAUUUAUCCCCUGACCUCCUUUAAUGAAAGAACACAAAUUCCAAAACUCCAAUCUUGGGGAGCAGAGGGGAAUAGUUAUCUACAACUGAUGGAAGCCUUUGCCCAAAGUUUGAAUGUGACCAACUGCUGCAUUUGUGGAGGUCCACGACAAUUUGAGAGAUGGCUUUGGGUGCCAGUACCUUGGAGUCUGGCCUGGAGUCCCAGGAACCAUUCAGAGGUACAUAAUGCCACUGGAUUCUGGGCUCAGGCUGAGAAAUAUACAUGGCAUUUGACAGACUCAGUAAGAGGCAUAUAUUGCCUGAAUCAAACUGGAGAGGGAGAGUGGUUGGGGGAGAGGAAAUGUAGUUGGACUUACAGUGUAAAAAUCCAAACUACACCACUAACAGCUGUUAUGGGAGCUGCCUGAUAGAAGCUGCUGGGCUUCUCAUUUUGGGGAAGCAGAAUAGAUUGUGUCAUGUGAGAGACGAUAAUGAUACUAGGAGAUGGAGAAGCAGUUGUAGUGAAAAUCCCUGAACAUCUUUCUCUAUUCCAUCCCCAUUAUAGUAUAUGUAUAAGUUUUGUAAGUAUGGUGAUGUUAUUAAAUAAAAGCGUACAUUGUUUCACAUGCAA